RNAcentral lists this ribosomal RNA (463 nucleotides) under Lachnospiraceae bacterium canine oral taxon 024. RNAcentral describes it as "bacterial SSU rRNA". It matches the Rfam family "Bacterial small subunit ribosomal RNA", at positions 9 to 454 of the family's 1533-position model. The record is from RNAcentral. Lineage: Bacteria; Bacillati; Bacillota; Clostridia; Lachnospirales; Lachnospiraceae.
GAGUUUGAUUAUGGCUCAGGAUGAACGCUGGCGGCGUGCCUAACACAUGCAAGUCGAACGAAGCAUAUAGAAGGAAGUUUUCGGAUGGAAUUUUAUAUGACUUAGUGGCGGACGGGUGAGUAACGCGUGGAUAAUCUGCCUUACACAGCGGGAUAACAAGUGGAAACAGUUGCUAAUACCGCAUAAGCACACAGUAUCGCAUGAUACAGGGUGAAAGGAUUUAUCGGUGUAAGAUGAGUCCGCGUCCCAUUAGCUAGUUGGUGAGGUAAAAGCUUACCAAGGCGACGAUGGGUAGCCGGCCUGAGAGGGUGAACGGCCACAUUGGGACUGAGACACGGCCCAGACUCCUACGGGAGGCAGCAGUGGGGGAUAUUGCACAAUGGGCGAAAGCCUGAUGCAGCGACGCCGCGUGAUGGAUGAAGUAUUUCGGUAUGUAAACUUCUAUCAGCAGGGAAGAAAAUGA